AACGAUAGGUCCUCGCAAAUUAAACGGUGCUGGCAUCUUAUACUGUAUAUUUUGAUGCACGCGGCUAUGGGUUACCAGCGAUGCAACCACACCCUUUUUCACGAACUCGGAAAUUUACAGCAGUAGGACGUCACCUCUUUAUUCUACAUUGCCAGCCUGCAUCUUUGCUUGCCGACCCGCAGAGUAUUGCCAAGAAGAACACGAACGGACGAACAUACCUCAUCUCGCAACUUUGAGCAUUUUUGCAAGUCUUCGACACCGGCUUUAAAGGAUGGCAGCGGCACCGCGUCAGAGAUACACGUACGGCUAUACCACUGUGCAGCAAGAACGGCAGCAAACUCUACGCCUUAAUGUUGCAGGGAUACAAGAAGAAAUAAUCACCGAAUUUGAAAAGCAGUUAGUAAACGCGAAGGCAGAAGUCGAGGCCCUCGACAAUGGCGACGAGGUGGACGAUUAUGUUGAC
Patiria miniata (bat star) is the source of this 463-nucleotide long non-coding RNA. RefSeq lists it as uncharacterized. The transcript has 3 exons. The record is from RefSeq and is a predicted model, not a curated record. NCBI's taxonomy places the organism in Eukaryota, Metazoa, Echinodermata, Asteroidea, Valvatida, Asterinidae.